Molecule: long non-coding RNA, 423 nt
Organism: Clupea harengus (Atlantic herring)
Lineage: Eukaryota; Metazoa; Chordata; Actinopteri; Clupeiformes; Clupeidae
Exons: 2
Source: RefSeq, a predicted model, not a curated record
GACCUGAAGGAGGCUCACACUGGUUCUCAAGGCUAGGAAAAUGAAUUGAAUCAAUACUGCAUCACAAUUUUAUUAGACACAGUGGACCCACCAAAGGGAUAUUUCAUUAUGAUGUUUUGACAGACACAGAUGCACUGUUGCAUGAAGAAGGGGACAAGGAGAGAAGGAUUAGGGUCCAAAUGACGUCUGUUUGGAUUCUGGUCAUUUGGGAGCUACUGACUGAACGGAACAGUGAACAUCUGCCACCUGCUGGUGAAGAACAGAACUACACAUUACAUUAACUCGUCUUAAUGAAAACUUCAGAAUACAGAUAAUGAAAUGGCUACAUUUAUGUUUUAUUACCUGAAGCUAACAAAUACAAAUAAAAAAUCUUAAUGGUAAAAUAAAAUCUUAAGCAGUUUUAUUUAAAAAAAUAUAUACACA